GGGAGACCUGCACACAUUUCCAUAUUCAGUAAAGCCUUCUUUUCCUGCCAGCCAGGCUCUGACUGACUUCUAGAUUGGAUGAUAGUGGCAAGCUGUGAUUGGAGCUUUAGCAAGGGUCGCCUACAUUUAAGGCUGUAUUGUCGCAGUUUAAACUUUGUUCUAUCAGAGGAAAAUGCAGUAGGGGAUUUUUCAGAGAAGAGGAAGCUUCACUGGAGUACCUCAUGACAUUGAAUUGGCCUGGGAGGGGCUACAGUGAGUGCAGUCACACACUGGACUGGAGAGAAAACAUCAUUGGUAUCGUUCCUCUGGAUCACUCAUCUCCUCUGCCAUCAUGAUAACCAACAACACUGGAAUGCAAGAGUCAAGAGAGCAGGAGGCUUGUCUGCCUUGGUUUCUCUUCACCUAGUGGCCAGCAGAGUCUCUAGUGCUUUGGAGCUGCUUAGUAAAUAUCAGCUGGCUGACAGAGGACCCCAUAGUCAACAACUUGACACUCAACAAAUGGACAUGGGAAAGCAAGCCUGCAAAGAUGAAUCUAAAAAGCAAGACAAAUGAAUAAACAAAUAAGCAAACAAAAAUUAGAAUCAGACCUAUAAAUGCAGAGAAUAAAUGGGUAGUUGCCAGAGGGAAGGGGGUAGAGGAAUUAGCAAAAUAGAUGAAGGGUCAUGGGAGAUACAGACUUCCAGUUUUGCAAUGAGUAAGUCACAGGGACAAAAGGA
RNAcentral lists this long non-coding RNA (716 nucleotides) under Canis lupus familiaris (dog). RNAcentral's name for it is "lncRNA (ENSCAFG00000041824.2)". Lineage: Eukaryota; Metazoa; Chordata; Mammalia; Carnivora; Canidae. The record is from RNAcentral.